CCGGUUGAUCCUGCCGGACCUGACUGCUAUCGGAUUGAUACUAAGCCAUGCGAGUCAUUGUAGCAAUACAAGGCAGACGGCUCAGUAACGCGUAGUCAACCUACCCUAUGGACGGGAAUAACCUCGGGAAACUGAGUAUAAUGCCCGAUAGAACAUUAUACCUGGAAUGGUUUAUGUUCCAAAUGAUUUAUCGCCGUAGGAUGGGACUGCGGCCUAUCAGUUUGUUGGUGAGGUAAUGGCCCACCAAGACUAUUACAGGUACGGGCUCUGAGAGGAGUGGCCCGGAGAUGGGUACUGAAACACGGACCCAGGCCCUAUGGGGCGCAGCAGGCGAGAAAACUUUGCAAUGUGCGAAAGCACGACAAGGUUAAUCCGAGUGGUUUCUGCUAAAGGAACCUUUUGUUAGUCUUAGAAACACUAACGAAUAAGGGGUGGGCAAGUUCUGGUGUCAGCCGCCGCGGUAAAACCAGCACCUCAAGUGGUCAGGAUGAUUAUUGGGCCUAAAGCAUCCGUAGCCGGCUCUGUAAGUUUUCGGUUAAAUCUGUACGCUUAACGUACAGGCCGCCGGGAAUACUGCAGAGCUAGGGAGUGGGAGAGGUAGACGGUACUCGGGAGGAAGUGGUAAAAUGCUUUGAUCUCUCGAUGACCACCUGUGGCGAAGGCGGUCUACCAGAACACGUCCGACGGUGAGGGAUGAAAGCU
This 702-nucleotide ribosomal RNA is filed under the name uncultured archaeon. RNAcentral describes it as "bacterial SSU rRNA". It matches the Rfam family "Archaeal small subunit ribosomal RNA", at positions 4 to 712 of the family's 1478-position model. The record is from RNAcentral.